RNAcentral lists this ribosomal RNA (253 nucleotides) under uncultured bacterium. Its description in RNAcentral is "partial 16S ribosomal RNA". It matches the Rfam family "Bacterial small subunit ribosomal RNA", at positions 524 to 776 of the family's 1533-position model. The record is from RNAcentral.
UACGUAGGGGGCAAGCGUUGUCCGGAAUCAUUGGGCGUAAAGAGCGUGUAGGCGGCCCGAUAAGUCCGCCGUGAAAGUCCAGGGCUCAACCCUGGAAUGCCGGUGGAAACUGUCGGGCUGGAGUCCGGAAGAGGCGAGUGGAAUUCCAGGUGUAGCGGUGAAAUGCGUAGAUAUCUGGAGGAACACCGGUGGCGAAGGCGACGUCCUGGACCGGCAUUGACGCUGAGGCGCGAAAGCCAGGGGAGCAAACGGG